This 253-nucleotide ribosomal RNA is filed under the name uncultured bacterium. RNAcentral's name for it is "partial 16S ribosomal RNA". It matches the Rfam family "Bacterial small subunit ribosomal RNA", at positions 524 to 776 of the family's 1533-position model. The record is from RNAcentral.
UACGGAGGGUGCAAGCGUUGUCCGGAAUUAUUGGGCGUAAAGAGCUCGUAGGCGGUUUGUUGCGUCGGCUGUGAAAUCCCGAGGCUCAACCUCGGGUCUGCAGUCGAUACGAGCAAACUAGAGUGUUGCAGGGGAGACUGGAAUUCCUGGUGUAGCGGUGAAAUGCGCAGAUAUCAGGAGGAACACCGGUGGCGAAGGCGGGUCUCUGGGCAACAACUGACGCUGAGGAGCGAAAGCGUGGUGAGCGAACAGG